This 103-nucleotide microRNA precursor is filed under the name Marmota monax (woodchuck). The record is from RNAcentral. Lineage: Eukaryota; Metazoa; Chordata; Mammalia; Rodentia; Sciuridae.
AGUGGAAUAGCUGGGUCAUAUGGUAGUCCCAUUCCUAAAUUUUUGAGGAAUUUCCACACUGCUUUCCAGAAUAGUUUGACUAAUUUGCAGUUCCACCAACAAU